CAUUGGUGGGAUUCAAAUAUUUCGUUUUCCCUCCAACCAAACACACAACUAUCCAUUUGGUCCUCUUGCUCUGAAACAUGAUUUCCAUUUCUCUCUCCACAGAAACCCACCAUUCCUUUCCUCUUGCAGAAGCUCUCACUCUGUUUUGUUUCCAGAUUAAAAGGUGACCUAUUUAAUGCUAUGUCUAGGAGGAGAAAUAUUCAUAAGGUAUUCUCUGCUAAUGGUCACACUGGUAGUCAGUUGUUGCUUACUGAUGUUAAGCCUAACAUACCACCCCUUCUUUUGAGAAUGGCUUCUGACUGUGAAGAUGGAAAAUUCAUAUAUGCACUUGGAGCAUUUAGAUGUCGUGUUGUUUAUGCUAAUGUAUCAUACGAUCGUAAACAUUUUCUUGCCGUUGUUUGUGUUGCUGCCAACUGAAUGUUGUUUGUGUUGCGGUUUUGUAUGCUGAACUUCCAUUUACCACAAUUGAAUGUUCGUUAGGUGAUUUUUCUGGAAUUCAGCCUGCUAAAACAAGUCAGAUUCGAGUAAUUCAAUGUUCGUUGGAUUAUGAUAGAUCUUCGAAGGGAAUUGUCUUUACGGACAGAUUGCCCCUAUCUACCAGGUGAGCAGGUAAACAUAAAUUCAUAGUUGGAAUUUGUUAAAUAUUAGAUUAACAUAGAAUAAAACAAUUAAGCACCUAGGUAGAUGAAAUAUAAAUCUGUCAGCGCCUCGUCGAAGUGUUUUAUGUCUUUAAAGUUAGCAAUAUUACCACAGACUGCGAUUGACUUUGGUGUUUAUUUCAUAUGGAAAUAAAUCAAAUGGGGGAGCUUCUGUUAUCUUAUGGAUUUGUUCCAAAGGAGGGCACAAAUCCAAGCGACUCAGUUGAGCUGCCAUUCUCACUCAAGAAAUCUGAUGAGUCCUAUAAGGAGAAGUUAGAACUGUUGAGGAAGUAUGGAUUAUCAGGAUCUCAGUGUUUUCCGUUAAGGGUCACUGGUUGGCCAUUGGAGUUAAUGGCUUAUGCUUAUUUAGUUGUUAGUCCUUCAAGCAUGAGAGGGAAAUUCGAAGAGGUAUGUCGUUUACUAUCGUAACAAAUUCUUUCUCCGAAUGUUAUAUUAGUAUAACCAUUAGCUAGAUAAAAAGUGAAUUAGUUUCUCUGCGGCAGAAUUCAGCUUGCUAAAAAGUGCAUUUGAAGUGCAGCAUUGCAUUUGUUUUAUGUUUUUCCUUAAGUCUUAGCUAGAUAUUUUUUCGUUAUGCUUUCUUUUAAUAAUUAUAGUAUACUGUUUUACUUUUGCUAUAUUUUUAUUAUAUGAUUAGAAUAUAUCUUCUUCCAUCUUUUUAUCUUUCAUAUCUUCUACAAUUACUCAAUUGUAUCUCUAGCGUUUCUCUUCUAGCUAGAGGUGUAUAUUUAGCGGGUGCGUAUGAGUAAUGCUUGGCUGUUUUUAUUAAGCAACAUGCCGUAGCAUAAGGGAAACCUCAACAUUGAUGUUCAUGCAUCUAAAGAGCAAUUUGUCAAGGAUGAGUCCUUCAGGUUUGUCGACAUGUUCUGAUAGUGCAGUUGAACCAUCACUGACCCCAAUUUCGAUUCUCGAGAGCAGUGAGGAUGCAUUAGACUUGACUUUUAGUCGGAUGGUUUGUGGUUGCGUCAUUGCCAAAGAGAUCAAUUACGGCAUCAGAAAGAAGAAGAGAUGGUAAGUUGAUUGUAUGAAUUUGAAUUGAGUUUUAUGAGAUUCACUUGUGCGUUGAUUUGUUAUGAAUUUCAAAUUGGUCCCUGUCAUUAUGUUUGUGUUAUUUCUGUUUUGUACCGAAAAAUAUCAGAAAUUGUAAAUCCUUAGCUUUGCGGCCAAAUUUUGAUGAUCCAUGGUCGUAAUCCUUUUUGCACUCACUGUUUUAAGCUCUUUUGAUGGCUGAUAACUGUAAAUUUCUGUCCCAAUUAAUAGGGUCUCCAAUGUUGUAUUGCCAAUGCUACUGCAAUCUCCAAUGUUGUAUUGCCAAUGCUAUUGCCAUCAAUUUUUUCUCAAAUGCAGAUUUGGUUAAUUGCGGUCUCUUAAAGCCUUACUGUAAAAAGCAAUACACCAGCCUUGCUGCAAAGGAAUGGCACCCGACCCAUUACCCGGAGCAUCACUUUCGAUUACAAACUCUUGAGUAAAAUAUUUAAGAGCUAGCGUGGGGGCUGUUGUCACCUCCUUAAGAAUCUCAGAGGCUUCUUUCUCCUUAAACUUUACAGGGUGGACACAUUUGCUUCUGAUAAAUUAAUAAUGUUUUUGCUGUUGCCAGUGCAAUUUUAUUAGUUGAAUAAAUACUUUGUUGUGACAUAAGUCAAAAUUUAUAAUUAAUCAUGCUGAUUGCAGUUCAAAUUGUGACUGCCAUUUUUUCUCC
Molecule: long non-coding RNA, 2355 nt
Organism: Vicia villosa (hairy vetch)
Lineage: Eukaryota; Viridiplantae; Streptophyta; Magnoliopsida; Fabales; Fabaceae
Exons: 5
Source: RefSeq, a predicted model, not a curated record